This is a long non-coding RNA of Pseudophryne corroboree (corroboree frog), 253 nucleotides long. RefSeq lists it as uncharacterized. NCBI's taxonomy places the organism in Eukaryota, Metazoa, Chordata, Amphibia, Anura, Myobatrachidae. The transcript is spliced from 3 exons. The record is from RefSeq and is a predicted model, not a curated record.
UCCCAGUAAUGCAUCACAGUGAAGAAGAGCAGGGUUGGACAGCGCACAGCAUAGCACCCUGCGGCUGUGCAGCAGCAGACUGUUUAAACUAAGUCCCCGCUUGUAUCGGAGAUUCCUGUUCAGGGCUUCAGGCUGCUCUUUGCCACUGGGGAUCUGACGUCACAAAGUAGGAGCCACGCUGCAGUUCUAGGGCCGGGACCAGGGCUCUUUCUCCAAACAAAGUAAAGAUUUCUCUGUGUUGCAAACCAAGGUG